AGAGGGGGCAAGCGUUGUCCGGACUGACUGGGCGUAAAGCGCGCGCAGGCGGUCUGAGGCGUCGGUGCUGAAAGUCCACCGCUUAACGGUGGGAAGCGCGCCGAUACGCUCAGACUGGAGGGCGGGCGAGGGUGGUGGAAUUGCCGGUGUAGUGGUGAAAUGCGUAGAGAUCGGCAGGAACACCAGUGGCGAAGGCGGCCACCUAGCCCGCACCUGACGCUGAGGCGCGACAGCGUGGGGAGCGAACUGGAUUAGAUACCCAGGUAGUCCACGCCGUAAACGAUGCCGACUCGGUCUUCGUGGGGCGAAUAGCCCUGGGGGGGCCCGAGCUCACGCGCUAAGUCGGCCGCCUGGGGACUACGAGCGCAAGCUUAAA
This 376-nucleotide ribosomal RNA is filed under the name uncultured bacterium. RNAcentral's name for it is "bacterial SSU rRNA". It matches the Rfam family "Bacterial small subunit ribosomal RNA", at positions 527 to 898 of the family's 1533-position model. The record is from RNAcentral.